Molecule: small nucleolar RNA, 78 nt
Organism: Pocillopora damicornis (cauliflower coral)
Lineage: Eukaryota; Metazoa; Cnidaria; Anthozoa; Scleractinia; Pocilloporidae
Product: small nucleolar RNA SNORD24
Source: RefSeq, a predicted model, not a curated record
UGCCAAUGAUGAUUUCAAUAUUUGCUAGUUGAUCAUUGAGAUGUGAUGACAACUUUUCCCACCAAGAUCGCUGAGGCA